ACGAAGGGGGCUAGCGUUGUUCGGAUUUACUGGGCGUAAAGCGCACGUAGGCGGGUUGUUAAGUCAGGGGUGAAAUCCUGGAGCUCAACUCCAGAACUGCCUUUGAUACUGGCAACCUAGAGGCUGGAAGAGGUUAGUGGAAUUCCCAGUGUAGAGGUGAAAUUCGUAGAUAUUCGGAAGAACACCAGUGGCGAAGGCGGCUCACUGGCCCGGUACUGACGCUGAGGUGCGAAAGCGUGGGGAGCAAACAGGA
This 253-nucleotide ribosomal RNA is filed under the name uncultured prokaryote. RNAcentral's name for it is "partial 16S ribosomal RNA". It matches the Rfam family "Bacterial small subunit ribosomal RNA", at positions 525 to 777 of the family's 1533-position model. The record is from RNAcentral.